AAGUGAGAAGCAAAAUUUGCAAUCAGUUUCGACCUGAUCCUUGAUAAGAUCUUUAUCCUCACUUU
RNAcentral lists this transfer RNA (65 nucleotides) under Promirotermes pygmaeus. Its description in RNAcentral is "tRNA-Arg". Lineage: Eukaryota; Metazoa; Arthropoda; Insecta; Blattodea; Termitidae. The record is from RNAcentral.